Molecule: long non-coding RNA, 860 nt
Organism: Spinacia oleracea (spinach)
Lineage: Eukaryota; Viridiplantae; Streptophyta; Magnoliopsida; Caryophyllales; Amaranthaceae
Exons: 3
Source: RefSeq, a predicted model, not a curated record
GCACAAAAGUUCUUUGAAAAUAGAGGCAACAUUAGAUUUUUUUGUCAUUUUCUCGGUCCUCCUCUUCACCUUCUCUGCUUCUGCUUCUGCUUCUGCUUCAACCAUCGUCAUCGUCGUUGUUGCUUCUGCCAUCGCCAUCGCCGCCAUUGCUUCUGCCAUCGCCGCUUCUGAGAUGAAGAAUGUAGUCUCAAGGUUAUUCUAUAUUGUUCGCCCCCCAUCAACCCACACAACCAGAAGCUUCGAGUUGCCCUAAUUAGAAGAAAUCGUUCAGCGAUUCUGCUUAAUUCAAGUUUCCCAGGAUGAGUUUCUCUGAUUCUUUUUUUCAUCGUUUGCACCUUUCUCUAAUGGGGUAGAUUCAAUGGGAGAAUUCUAGGGAGAUCUCUGCAAUCAGCAUUGGUACUACAGGGCCUCCUAUGGUGCAGCAACCUAGGGCUCCUGAUCAAUAUGAUGUUCAUAGGAUGGCGGAGAAUGGUAAUGGUGUUAUGGAUGUUAUGAGAGGGAAUUCAAGGCCGGUUUAUUGGAAAACAAAGCUCUAUACCAAGUUUGAAACAACAGAGUUCUGUCCUUUUGGGGACAAUUGCCAUUUUGCUCAUGGGCAUGCAGGUAUUCAAUAAUCCGAGGGAGCAGCCUUUCACCUUUGAGGAGAUAGAUGAAGUACGAGGAGAUAGAUGAAGUUUGAGGAGAUAGAUGAAGUUCGAGGGAGCGGCAUUUCACCCGUGGUUGUCUUUGAUAUUUUCUUGUACUGAAUCUUAAAUUAUGGAUGCUAGUUAUUCGUAUGAUUGUAAUGUAAUCGACUUUUAUAUUUACAAUUAUAUACUACUUUAUUUAAUUAUCUAUAUAAUUGGAUACUUUUCAUGUGA